Non-coding RNA from Patagioenas fasciata monilis, 47 nucleotides. The record is from Rfam. NCBI's taxonomy places the organism in Eukaryota, Metazoa, Chordata, Aves, Columbiformes, Columbidae.
CCAAAGGCUCUUUUAAGAGCCACCCACUUUCUCCUAAAAAGAGCUGU